Long non-coding RNA from Larimichthys crocea (large yellow croaker), 341 nucleotides. RefSeq lists it as uncharacterized. The record is from RefSeq and is a predicted model, not a curated record. Lineage: Eukaryota; Metazoa; Chordata; Actinopteri; Sciaenidae. The transcript has 2 exons.
UUAAUUAAAAUUUUUGUUUGCUUUUAGUUUCCCGCCAAAAGUGUCUAAUGCCCGCUGUACGACUGAUGGUGGAUUUGCUUUUCUAGCUGAAGGGAAAAUCAGACUUCGUCUUAUUUUUUUACUCAAACGGGGCAACAAAGCUUUAAGUUUUUAAACUUUCAGCAGUGACACUUUGUGUGGAGUCAUUUUGAGGUGAAUGUGAGUCUGCUCUCACAGACGGACUGUUUCCAGGUCAGCUCAUCUAAGAGUGAACCCGGGCAUGCUGGUUUGAUUUCUUUACCUACUCUAAUUAAAGAUUAACUGCUGUCUCAAUAAACUGCACAGAGGUCAGUUUUCCCAUU